GGCUCCAUAGUGUAGUGGUUAGCACGUCUGCUUUACAUGCAGAAGGUCCUGGGUUCCCACCCCAAGUGGAGCCA
This is a non-coding RNA of Pteropus alecto (black flying fox), 74 nucleotides long. NCBI's taxonomy places the organism in Eukaryota, Metazoa, Chordata, Mammalia, Chiroptera, Pteropodidae. The record is from Rfam.